AAUUGUAUAGUUUAAUAAAAAUUUUAAAUUGCAAGUUUAAAGAUAAGAAAUGCUUUACAAUUU
RNAcentral lists this transfer RNA (63 nucleotides) under Curculionidae sp. BMNH 1274272. RNAcentral describes it as "tRNA-Cys". Lineage: Eukaryota; Metazoa; Arthropoda; Insecta; Coleoptera; Curculionidae. The record is from RNAcentral.